This 207-nucleotide non-coding RNA is filed under the name Nodularia spumigena. The record is from RNAcentral. Lineage: Bacteria; Bacillati; Cyanobacteriota; Cyanophyceae; Nostocales; Nodulariaceae.
GUAGAUUUUUAUAUAUCCGGCUCUAGUAGAAAUCAGCUAUUAGACUUAAGGGGGAAAGUCCGGUGUAAAUCCGGCGCUGUCCCGCAGCUGUAAACCGAUUUGAAAUUUUUAAUUUGAGAUUUGAAAUUGUAUCAGACAGUUCAAAAUUUUCAAAUUUAAAUUUUAAAUUGCGUAAGUCAGAAUACCCGCCGAUAGAAAAGUAACUUU